CCUACGGGGGGCUGCAGUGGGGAAUAUUGCACAAUGGGGGAAACCCUGAUGCAGCAACGCCGCGUGAGCGAUGAAGGCCUUCGGGUCGUAAAGCUCUGUCCUAAGGGAAGAAUACUGACGGUACCUUAGGAGGAAGCCCCGGCUAACUACGUGCCAGCAGCCGCGGUAAUACGUAGGGGGCUAGCGUUAUCCGGAAUUACUGGGCGUAAAGGGUGCGUAGGCGGCCCUUCAAGUCAGAGGUGAAAGGCUACGGCUCAACCGUAGUAAGCCUUUGAAACUGUAGGGCUUGAGUGCGGGAGAGGAGGUGGGAAUCCCCGGGGUGGCGGUGAAAGCGGUAGAAAUGGGGGGGACACCCGUUUGGGAAGGCGCCUCUCGGGACGUUAACGGCGGUUGGGGCAGGAAGCGUGGGGAGCGAACAGGAUUAGAUACCCCGGUAGUC
This 439-nucleotide ribosomal RNA is filed under the name uncultured bacterium. Its description in RNAcentral is "bacterial SSU rRNA". It matches the Rfam family "Bacterial small subunit ribosomal RNA", at positions 338 to 795 of the family's 1533-position model. The record is from RNAcentral.